GGGACACGUGGUAUCCUGUCUGAAUAUGGGGGGACCAUCCUCCAAGGCUAAAUACUCCUGACUGACCGAUAGUGAACCAGUACCGUGAGGGAAAGGCGAAAAGAACCCCGGCGAGGGGAGUGAAAAAGAACCUGAAACCGUGUACGUACAAGCAGUGGGAGCACGCUUAGGCGUGUGACUGCGUACCUUUUGUAUAAUGGGUCAGCGACUUAUAUUCUGUAGCAAGGUUAACCGAAUAGGGGAGCCGAAGGGAAACCGAGUCUUAACUGGGCGUUAAGUUGCAGGGUAUAGACCCGAAACCCGGUGAUCUAGCCAUGGGCAGGUUGAAGGUUGGGUAACACUAACUGGAGGACCGAACCGACUAAUGUUGAAAAAUUAGCGGAUGACUUGUGGCUGGGGGUGAAAGGCCAAUCAAACCGGGAGAUAGCUGGUUCUCCCCGAAAGCUAUUUAGGUAGCGCCUCGUGAAUUCAUCUCCGGGGGUAGAGCACUGUUUCGGCAAGGGGGUCAUCCCGACUUACCAACCCGAUGCAAACUGCGAAUACCGGAGAAUGUUAUCACGGGAGACACACGGCGGGUGCUAACGUCCGUCGUGAAGAGGGAAACAACCCAGACCGCCAGCUAAGGUCCCAAAGUCAUGGUUAAGUGGGAAACGAUGUGGGAAGGCCCAGACAGCCAGGAUGUUGGCUUAGAAGCAGCCAUCAUUUAAAGAAAGCGUAAUAGCUCACUGGUCGAGUCGGCCUGCGCGGAAGAUGUAACGGGGCUAAACCAUGCACCGAAGCUGCGGCAGCGACGCUUAUGCGUUGUUGGGUAGGGGAGCGUUCUGUAAGCCUGUGAAGGUGUGCUGUGAGGCAUGCUGGAGGUAUCAGAAGUGCGAAUGCUGACAUAAGUAACGAUAAAGCGGGUGAAAAGCCCGCUCGCCGGAAGACCAAGGGUUCCUGUCCAACGUUAAUCGGGGCAGGGUGAGUCGACCCCUAAGGCGAGGCCGAAAGGCGUAGUCGAUGGGAAACAGGUUAAUAUUCCUGUACUUGGUGUUACUGCGAAGGGGGGACGGAGAAGGCUAUGUUGGCCGGGCGACGGUUGUCCCGGUUUAAGCGUGUAGGCUGGUUUUCCAGGCAAAUCCGGAAAAUCAAGGCUGAGGCGUGAUGA
This 1147-nucleotide ribosomal RNA is filed under the name Escherichia coli. RNAcentral describes it as "partial 23S ribosomal RNA". It matches the Rfam family "Bacterial large subunit ribosomal RNA", at positions 419 to 1569 of the family's 2925-position model. Lineage: Bacteria; Pseudomonadati; Pseudomonadota; Gammaproteobacteria; Enterobacterales; Enterobacteriaceae. The record is from RNAcentral. RNAcentral also lists the same sequence under 1 other name.